ACGCACGCUGGCGGCGUGCUUAACACAUGCCAGUCGAACGGGUCUGCCCUGUUUUUUGCGGGGUGGGUCAGUGGCGAACGGGUGAGUAACACGUGAGUAACCUGCCCCUCACUUCUGGAUAACCGCUUGAAAGGGUGGCUAAUACGGGGUGUUCUGGCUGUGCCGCAUGGUGUGGCUGGGAAAGAUUCACUUUUGUGGUGUUUUGGUGGGGGAUGGGCUCGCGGCCUAUCAGCUUGUUGGUGGGGUGAUGGCCUGCCAAGGCUUUGACGGGUAGCCGGCCUGAGAGGGUGGGCGGUCACACUGGGACUGAGAUACGGCCCAGACUCCUGCGGGAGGCAGCAGUGGGGGGUAUUGCACAAUGGGCGGAAGCCUGAUGCAGCGACGUCGCGUGAGGGAUGGAGGCCUUCGGGUUGUGAACCUCUUUCGCCGGUGAAGAAGGUCCUGCUCUUUGUGGUGGGGUUGACGGUAGCCGGGUUAUGAAGCGCCGGCUAACUACGUG
Molecule: ribosomal RNA, 499 nt
Filed under: uncultured bacterium
Lineage: Bacteria
Description: partial 16S ribosomal RNA
Rfam family: Bacterial small subunit ribosomal RNA
Source: RNAcentral